This 265-nucleotide unclassified non-coding RNA is filed under the name Russula sp. RNAcentral's name for it is "partial contains small subunit ribosomal RNA, internal transcribed spacer 1, and 5.8S ribosomal RNA". The stretch from base 1 to 46 matches the Rfam family "Eukaryotic small subunit ribosomal RNA", at positions 1786 to 1831 of the family's 1831-position model. Lineage: Eukaryota; Fungi; Basidiomycota; Agaricomycetes; Russulales; Russulaceae. The record is from RNAcentral.
AAGUCGUAACAAGGUUUCCGUAGGUGAACCUGCGGAAGGAUCAUUAUCGUUAAACCGAGGCGCGAGGGCUGUCGCUGACCUUCCCCGGUCGUGCACGCCCGAGCCCUCUCACAAUCCAUCUCACCCCUUGUGCAUCACCGCGUGGGUCUCCCUUUGCCGGAGGGCCCGCGUCUUUACACAAAACUCGAUACAGUGUAGAAUGUUUUAUUUUCGCGCUCGCACGCGAUCAAUAAUACAACUUUCAACAACGGAUCUCUUGGCUCUC